GGGCGGGUAGUUCAGUGGUAGAACGCUUGCUCGACACGCAAGAGGUCGUUGGUUCGAUACCAAUCCCGCCCA
RNAcentral lists this transfer RNA (72 nucleotides) under Desulfofarcimen acetoxidans DSM 771. RNAcentral's name for it is "Desulfotomaculum acetoxidans DSM 771 tRNA". It matches the Rfam family "tRNA". Rfam says of the family: Transfer RNA (tRNA) molecules are approximately 80 nucleotides in length. Their secondary structure includes four short double-helical elements and three loops (D, anti-codon, and T loops). The record is from Rfam by way of RNAcentral. Lineage: Bacteria; Bacillati; Bacillota; Clostridia; Eubacteriales; Peptococcaceae.